RNAcentral lists this ribosomal RNA (301 nucleotides) under uncultured bacterium. RNAcentral's name for it is "partial 16S ribosomal RNA". It matches the Rfam family "Bacterial small subunit ribosomal RNA", at positions 509 to 807 of the family's 1533-position model. The record is from RNAcentral.
CAGUAGCCGCGGUAAUACGAAGGGGGCUAGCGUUGUUCGGAUUUACUGGGCGUAAAGCGCACGUAGGCGGAUCGAUCAGUCAGGGGUGAAAUCCCAGAGCUCAACUCUGGAACUGCCUUUGACACUGUCGAUCUGGAGUAUGGAAGAGGUAAGUGGAAUUCCGAGUGUAGAGGUGAAAUUCGUAGAUAUUCGGAAGAACACCAGUGGCGAAGGCGGCUUACUGGCUCAUUCUAGACGCUGAGGUGCGAAAGCGUGGGGAGCAAACAGGAUUAGAUACCCCUGUAGUCCCUGUCUCUUAUAC